Molecule: ribosomal RNA, 496 nt
Filed under: uncultured bacterium
Lineage: Bacteria
Description: partial 16S ribosomal RNA
Rfam family: Bacterial small subunit ribosomal RNA
Source: RNAcentral
AUGAACGCUGGCGGCGUGCCUAAUCCCUGCCAGUCGAGCGAACGGACGAGAAGCUUGCUUCUCUGAUGUUAGCGGCGGACGGGUGAGUAACACGUGGAUAACCUACCUAUAAGACUGGGAUAACUUCGGGAAACCGUAGCUAAUACCGGAUAAUAUUUUGAACCGCAUGGUUCAAAAGUGAAAGACGGUCUUGCUGUCACUUAUAGAUGGAUCCGCGCUGCAUUAGCUAGUUGGUAAGGUAACGGCUUACCAAGGCAACGAUGCAUAGCCGACCUGAGAGGGUGAUCGGCCACACUGGAACUGAGACACGGUCCAGACUCCUACGGGAGGCAGCAGUAGGGAAUCUUCCGCAAAGGGCGAAAGCCUGACGGAGCAACGCCGCGUGAGUGAUGAAGGUCUUCGGAUCGUAAAACUCUGUUAUUAGGGAAGAACAUAUGUGUAAGUAACUGUGCACAUCUUGACGGUACCUAAUCAGAAAGCCACGGCUAACUACGUG